ACGGUCCUAAGGUAGCGAAAUUCCUUGUCGGGUAAGUUCCGACCUGCACGAAUGGCGUAAUGAUGGCCAGGCUGUCUCCACCCGAGACUCAGUGAAAUUGAACUCGCUGUGAAGAUGCAGUGUACCCGCGGCAAGACGGAAAGACCCCGUGAACCUUUACUAUAGCUUGACACUGAACAUUGAGCCUUGAUGUGUAGGAUAGGUGGGAGGCUUUGAAGUGUGGACGCCAGUCUGCAUGGAGCCAACCUUGAAAUACCACCCUUUAAUGUUUGAUGUUCUAACUCCGGUCCCUAAUCGGGAUUGAGGACAGUGUCUGGUGGGUAGUUUGACUGGGGCGGUCUCCUCCUAAAGAGUAACGGAGGAGCACGAAGGUUAGCUAAUCACGGUCGGACAUCGUGAGGUUAGUGCAAUGGCAUAAGCUAGCUUGACUGCGAGAGUGACGGCUCGAGCAGGUACGAAAGUAGGUCAUAGUGAUCCGGUGGUUCUGAAUGGAAGGGCCAUCGCUCAACGGAUAAAAGGUACUCCGGGGAUAACAGGCUGAUACCGCCCAAGAGUUCAUAUCGACGGCGGUGUUUGGCACCUCGAUGUCGGCUCAUCACAUCCUGGGGCUGAAGUAGGUCCCAAGGGUAUGGCUGUUCGCCAUUUAAAGUGGUACGCGAGCUGGGUUUAGAACGUCGUGAGACAGUUCGGUCCCUAUCUGCCGUGGGCGUUGGAAGAUUGAGAGGGGCUGCUCCUAGUACGAGAGGACCGGAGUGGACGCAUCACUGGUGUUCGGGUUGUCAUGCCAAUGGCACUGCCCGGUAGCUAAAUGCGGAAGAGAUAAGUGCUGAAAGCAUCUAAGCACGAAACUUGCCCCGAGAUGAGUUCUCCCUGACUCCUUGAGAGUCCUGAAGGAACGUUGAAGACGACGACGUUGAUAGGCCGGGUGUGUAAGCGCAGCGAUGCGUUGAGCUAACCGGUACUAAUGAACCGUGAGGCUUAACCUU
RNAcentral lists this ribosomal RNA (986 nucleotides) under human gut metagenome. Its description in RNAcentral is "bacterial LSU rRNA". It matches the Rfam family "Bacterial large subunit ribosomal RNA", at positions 1945 to 2925 of the family's 2925-position model. The record is from RNAcentral.